RNAcentral lists this ribosomal RNA (459 nucleotides) under uncultured bacterium. Its description in RNAcentral is "partial 16S ribosomal RNA". It matches the Rfam family "Bacterial small subunit ribosomal RNA", at positions 338 to 795 of the family's 1533-position model. The record is from RNAcentral.
CCUACGGGAGGCAGCAGUGAGGAAUAUUGGUCAAUGGACGAGAGUCUGAACCAGCCAAGUAGCGUGAAGGAUGACUGCCCUAUGGGUUGUAAACUUCUUUUAUAAAGGAAUAAAACGAGGCACGUGUGCCUUUUUUCAUGUACUUUAUGAAUAAGGAUCGGCUAACUCCGUGCCAGCAGCCGCGGUAAUACGGAGGAUCCGAGGGUUAUCCGGAUUUAUUGGGUUUAAAGGGUGCGCAGGCGGAUUUUUAAGUCAGCGGUAAAAUCGUGGGGCUCAACCCCAUCCAGCCGUUGAAACUGGGGAUCUAGAGUGUGUGAGAGGUAUGCGGAAUGCGUGGUGUAGCGGUGAAAUGCAUAGAUAUCACGCAGAACCCCGAUUGCGAAGGCAGCAUACCGGUGCACAACUGACGCUCAGGCACGAAAGCGUGGGUAUCGAACAGGAUUAGAUACCCUUGUAGUC